RNAcentral lists this ribosomal RNA (691 nucleotides) under uncultured bacterium. Its description in RNAcentral is "bacterial SSU rRNA". It matches the Rfam family "Bacterial small subunit ribosomal RNA", at positions 58 to 727 of the family's 1533-position model. The record is from RNAcentral.
CAAGUCGAACGCGAAAGUUCCUUUCGGGGAGCGAGUAGAGUGGCGCACGGGUGAGUAACACGUAGGUAAUCUACCUUUGGAUUGGGAAUAACCACCGGAAACGGUGGCUAAUACCGAAUAAUGCAGCGGCACCUAAUGGUGACAGUUGUUAAAGCGGGGGAUCGCAAGACCUCGCGUCUAAAGAGGAGCCUGCGGCGGAUUAGCUAGUUGGUAAGGUAACGGCUUACCAAGGCGAUGAUCCGUAGCCGGCCUGAGAGGGCGGUCGGCCACACUGACACUGACAUACGGGUCAGACUCCUACGGGAGGCAGCAGUCGGGAAUUUUGGGCAAUGGGCGAAAGCCUGACCCAGCAACGCCGCGUGAAGGAUGAAAUCCCUCGGGAUGUAAACUUCGCAAGAACGGGAAGAAUAAGUCGGUGCCAACACCAUCGACGAUGACGGUACUGUUUGUAAGCUCCGGCUAACUCCGUGCCAGCAGCCGCGGUAAUACGGGGGGAGCAAGCGUUGUUCGGAUUUACUGGGCGUAAAGGGCGUGUAGGCGGCCACCGCAAGUCGACUGUGAAAUCUCCGGGCUUAACUCGGAAAGGUCAGCCGAUACUGCGGGGCUAGAGUGCAGAAGGGGCAACUGGAAUUCUCGGUGUAGCGGUGAAAUGCGUAGAUAUCGAGAGGAACACCUGCGGCGAAGGCGGGUU